Molecule: long non-coding RNA, 280 nt
Filed under: Lathyrus oleraceus (garden pea)
Lineage: Eukaryota; Viridiplantae; Streptophyta; Magnoliopsida; Fabales; Fabaceae
Description: Pisum sativum (pea) long non-coding RNA (PSAT_LNC036324)
Source: RNAcentral
AAACUUGUGUCCUAAAGUUUAAUGAUUAAAAAAUUCGUCUGAGUUAAUCAUUAAAAUAAUCAAUUUAUUUUUGCUUAUCAGUUUGAAACAGUUGAGAAUAAAGUAAAAUUGUAAGCAAUUGCUUAAUGAUAUUAAUCAUGGUAAGAUUAGAAAGAAAUAAAAAACAGUAUAUUGGUUGGAUGCUGUAUGAUACAUAUAUAUAUAUAUAUAUAUACACGUGAGGUUUGAAAAUAUAUGUAUUAAGUGAAAAACAAGAAUAUUUUAAAGCACGGUCUUAAAA